This 1434-nucleotide ribosomal RNA is filed under the name metagenome. RNAcentral describes it as "bacterial SSU rRNA". It matches the Rfam family "Archaeal small subunit ribosomal RNA". The record is from RNAcentral.
UUCCGUUGAUCCUGCGGAAGGUUGCCGCUAUGAGAAUCCGACUAAGACAUGCAAGUCUGGGGACUUCGGUCACCGGCAAAAUGCUCAGUAACGCGUCGAUAAUCUGCCUUUCAGCUUGGAAUAACCUUGGUAACCUGAGGCUAAUGCCAAAUAGGGGAUUGCCACUGUGAUGUGCUUUCCUUCAAAGCUUCGGCACUGAAAGAUGAGUCGGCGACGGAUUAGGUUGUUGGUGAGGUAAUGGCUCACCAAGCCGAAGAUCCGUACGGGCCUUGAGAGAGGUAGCCCGGAGAAGGACACUGAGAUACUGGUCCUAGCCCUACGGGGUGCAGCAGUCGCGAAACCUUUACAAUGCACGCAAGUGUGAUAAGGGGAUUCUCAGUGCUCAAGAAUUUCUUGGGCUUUUGCCAAGAGUAAACAUCUUGGCGAAUAAGGGGUGGGAAAGACUGGUGCCAGCAGCCGCGGUAACACCAGCGCCUCAAGUGGGAACCGACUUUAUUUGGCCUAAAGCGUCCGUAGCCGGUUUGUUAAAUUUUCUGUGAAAUUGAUGAGCUCAACUCAUCAGCGUGCAGGAAACACUGGCAGACUAGGAACUGGGAGAAGUCAAAGGUAUUUCUGGGGAAGCGGUAAAAUGCUAUAAUCCUAGGAGGACCACCAAUGGCGAAGGCAUUUGACUAGAACAGAUUCGACGGUGAGGGGCGAAAGCCAGGGGAGCGAUCCGGAUUAGAUACCCGAGUAGUCCUGGCCCUAAACGCUGCGAGCUAGGUGUUGCAUAAUCUACAUGAUUGUGCAGUGUCGAAGCGAAGGUGUUAAGCUCGCCGCCUGGGAAGUAUGGCCGCAAGGCUGAAACUUAAAGGAAUUGGCGGGGGAGCACUACAAGGGGUGCGGCGUGCGGUUUAAUCUAACUCAACACAGAAAAUCUCACCAGCAGCGACGGCAGAAUGAAGGUCAAGUUGAUGUCUUUACCUGACGAGCCGAGAGGUGGUGCAUGGCCGUCGUCAGCUCGUGCUGUAAGGUGUCCUGUUAAGUCAGGCAACGAGCGAGACCUACGUCUAUAAUUGCUAGCAGCAGAAUUUCUGGACUGAGCACAUUAUGGAAACUGCCUUGGAAACGAGGAGGAAGGUGUAGGCUACGAUAGGUCUGUAUGCCCCGAAUCUGCUGGGCUACACGCGCGCAACAAUGGUAGAGACAAUGGGAUGCAACUCCGAAAGGAGAAGCUAAACCUCGAAACUCUAUCUUAGUCUAGAUCGAGGGUUGUAACUCACCCUCGUGACAACGGAAUCCCUAGUAAUCAGAGUUCACUAUACUCUGGUGAAUAUGUCCCUGCUCCUUGCACACACCGCCCGUCAAACCAACCGAGCAGGGUUUAGGUAAGGCAUGAUUUUUUGAUCAUUUCGAAUCUAAGUUCAGUGAGGUGGGUUAAGUCGUCACAAGGUA